Molecule: long non-coding RNA, 677 nt
Filed under: Malus domestica (apple)
Lineage: Eukaryota; Viridiplantae; Streptophyta; Magnoliopsida; Rosales; Rosaceae
Description: long non-coding RNA (MDOM_LNC002777)
Source: RNAcentral
UUGGAGUUCUAGGUUUGUUUGGGUUGAAUUAGCGGCAGAGACAAAGACGAUUUGGGGGAACGUCUUGGGUUUGUGGGUUCUUCUACGGGUUGGGAGAUCGAGGACUAUGAUUGGAUUGAUGGGGUUGAUAAGGACAAUAAGGAUGAUUUGUUUGCACAUGGUUUAAGGGCUUCUUUUGAAGGAUUGCAGGAGAUUAGGGGAAGGAUUGUAGGGAGAUUGAGGAUGAUGAGUUUCCACAAGGUUUAUAUAAUGGCCUGCCCGUUUUUUAUUUUUUUUUCAAUUUUUUUAAUUUUUAAUUAAAUUUUAUGCAAAGUAACAGCGUUAAAGGUUAAAUUUAAGCGGAGAACACAUGUCACAAGAUUAGAGAAGACACAUAAUUUGGGACAACUAACCCAUGGCCCGACUUCUAUAUUUUGCUUAAGUCAAGCUUAACCAAGCCAAAAUAGUGCUUAAAGUAGUCUAGUUCAACAUAGUUCUGCGCAGUUUUUGAGUUUGUUUGAUGAAUAUGCUUUUUUAUUUGACAAAAAGUGGCAAGAUAGAAGAAAAAACAAGAAAAGGGGUAAUUAACAAAAUUUGAUCAAUUGCUACUUAGUACUAUAGUUUAGUGGUAUUCAUCUUCACUUGUAAGUGAGAGGUCUUAGGUUCGAUUUUCGCCAAAGACGAGUUUGACCCACAUU